This 477-nucleotide ribosomal RNA is filed under the name Candidatus Scalindua wagneri. Its description in RNAcentral is "bacterial SSU rRNA". It matches the Rfam family "Bacterial small subunit ribosomal RNA", at positions 365 to 832 of the family's 1533-position model. Lineage: Bacteria; Pseudomonadati; Planctomycetota; Candidatus Brocadiia; Candidatus Brocadiales; Candidatus Scalinduaceae. RNAcentral also lists the same sequence under 1 other name. The record is from RNAcentral.
UUCGCAAUGCCCGAAAGGGUGACGAAGCGACGCCGCGUGGGUGAGGAAGGCCUUCGGGUUGUAAAACCCUGUCAGGAGUUAAGAAAUGUAAGUGCGCUAAUAUCGUGCUUAUUUGACAAAGGCUCCAAAGGAAGCCACGGCUAACUCUGUGCCAGCAGCCGCGGUAAUACAGAGGUGGCGAGCGUUGUUCGGAAUUAUUGGGCGUAAAGAGCACGUAGGUGGGUUUGCAAGUCAGAUGUGAAAGCCUUCUGUUCAACGGAAGAAUUGCAUCUGAAACUGCUAAUCUUGAGUAUAGGAGGGGAGAAUGGAACUUCUGGUGGAGCGGUGAAAUGCGUAGAUAUCAGAAGGAACGCCGGCGGCGAAAGCGAUUCUCUGGCCUAUUACUGACACUCAGUGUGCGAAAGCUAGGGGAGCAAACGGGAUUAGAUACCCCGGUAGUCCUGGCCGUAAACGAUGGGCACUAAGUAGAGGGGUUUU